UGGCUGAGUGUUAAAGCACUUGGCUUCUGAACCGGUGGUCCCAGGUUCGAAUCCUGG
Non-coding RNA from Biomphalaria glabrata, 57 nucleotides. Lineage: Eukaryota; Metazoa; Mollusca; Gastropoda; Planorbidae. The record is from Rfam.